AAUGAACGCUGGCGGCGCGCCUAAUACAUGCAAGUCGAGCGAGAAGACGUAGCAAUACGUUUGUAAAGCGGCGAACGGGUGAGGAAUACAUGGGUAACCUACCCUCGAGUGGGGAAGUAACUAGCCGAAAGGUUAGCUAAUACCGCGUACGCUUCUUGGACUUCGGUUCAGGGAGGAAAGCGAUGCCGAGGGUAUCGCGCUCUUGGAUGGGCUCAUGUCCUAUCAGCUUGUUGGGAGGUAACGGCUCACCAAGGCUUCGACGGGUAGCUGGUCUGAGAGGACGAUCAGCCACACUGGCACUGCGACACGGGCCAGACUCCUACGGGAGGCAGCAGUAAGGAAUAUUGCGCAAUGGGCGAAAGCCUGACGCAGCGACGCCGC
This 381-nucleotide ribosomal RNA is filed under the name uncultured bacterium. RNAcentral's name for it is "bacterial SSU rRNA". It matches the Rfam family "Bacterial small subunit ribosomal RNA", at positions 29 to 400 of the family's 1533-position model. The record is from RNAcentral.